Unclassified non-coding RNA from Callithrix jacchus (white-tufted-ear marmoset), 304 nucleotides. It matches the Rfam family "Metazoan signal recognition particle RNA". From Rfam's summary of the family: The signal recognition particle (SRP) is a universally conserved ribonucleoprotein. It is involved in the co-translational targeting of proteins to membranes. NCBI's taxonomy places the organism in Eukaryota, Metazoa, Chordata, Mammalia, Primates, Cebidae. The record is from Ensembl.
GCUGGGCAUGGUGGCGCGUGCCUGUAGUCCCAGCUACUCAGGAGGCUGAGGUGGGAGGAUCUCUUUCUUCAGCCCAGGAGUUCUGAGCUGUAGUGCACCAUGCGAGUUGGGUGUCCACACUAAGUUCGGCAUCAAUAUGGUGACCUCCUGGGAGCAGGGGACCACGAGGUUGCUUAAGAAGGGGUGAACUGGUCCAGGUCAGAAACAGAGCAGGUCAAAACUCUUGUGCUGAUCUGUAGUGGGAUCGCACCUGUGAAUAGCCACUGCACUCCAGCCUGGGCAACAUAGUGAGACCCCGUCUCUA